GCUUGUUGGGGGGGUAAUGGCCCACCAAGGCGACGACGGGUAGCUGGUCUGAGAGGAUGGCCAGCCACAUUGGGACUGAGAGACGGCCCAGACUCCUACGGGAGGCGGCAGUGGGGAAUCUUGCGCAAUGGCCGAAAGGCUGACGCAGCGACGCCGCGUGGGGGAGGAAGGCCUUCGGGUUGUAAACCCCUGUUGCCCGGGACGAAUGUGCACUUUAGAGUGCAUUGACGGUACCGGGUGAGGAAGCACCGGCUAACUCCGUGCCAGCAGCCGCGGUAAUACGGAGGGUGCAAGCGUUGUCCGGAAUCACUGGGCGUAAAGGGCGCGUAGGCGGCUCAUAAAGGCUGUGGUGAAAGUUCGGGGCUCAACCUCGAAUCGGCCGUGGCGACUUGUGGGCUGGAGCACUGUAGAGGCAGGUGGAAUUCCGGGUGUAGCGGUGGAAUGCGUAGAGAUCCGGAAGAACACCAGUGGCGAAGGCGGCCUGCUGGGCAGUGGCUGACGCUGAGGCGCGACAGCGUGGGGAGCAAACAGGAUUAGAUACCCCGGUAGUCCACGCCGUAAACGAUGGGCACUAGGUGCUUGGGGGAGCGACCCUCUGAGUGCCGGCGCUAACGCAUUAAGUGCCCCGCCUGGGGAGUACGG
RNAcentral lists this ribosomal RNA (642 nucleotides) under uncultured bacterium. Its description in RNAcentral is "bacterial SSU rRNA". It matches the Rfam family "Bacterial small subunit ribosomal RNA", at positions 244 to 885 of the family's 1533-position model. The record is from RNAcentral.